CCUGGAAACAGAUGCUAAUACCGGAUAACAACAGAUGAUGCCUAUCAACUGUUUAAAAGAUGGUUCUGCUAUCACUCUUGGAUGGACCUGCGGUGCAUUAGCUAGUUGGUAGGGUAACGGCCUACCAAGGCGAUGAUGCGUAGCCGAGUUGAGAGACUGAUCGGCCACAUUGGGACUGAGACACGGCCCAAACUCCUACGGGAGGCAGCAGCC
This 213-nucleotide ribosomal RNA is filed under the name uncultured Lactobacillus sp. RNAcentral's name for it is "partial 16S ribosomal RNA". It matches the Rfam family "Bacterial small subunit ribosomal RNA", at positions 149 to 355 of the family's 1533-position model. The record is from RNAcentral. Lineage: Bacteria; Bacillati; Bacillota; Bacilli; Lactobacillales; Lactobacillaceae.